UUUAACUUUUUGUUCUUAAGUUUUUCCUCCUAGCAGGUAAGAAAUACACUUAUUCCUUACUCCAAGGGAGAACAUUCCAUAAGAAUGUAUAAUUUAAAAAUUAUAUGCAUAAUUUAAAAAUUAUACAUAUAAUAAGAAACUAAUGAGCUCUGUAAGCCUUCAUCUAAAGCACAGUAAAAAAAGUAUAUAUAUGUUUCAUUGUAAGCAGACUUUAAUAACAUUGCAUAUCACUUGCAAAAGAUAUGUAAUUGCCUGUCACCCUUCCACCCUUACAUUAUCAUGACGGGCAUUUUUAUACAUUUUCUUCUAGGGUUUACAUCUACUUUUUUUUUAAUUUAUUUUUGUUGUUGUUGAAAAUAGAUGAAGCAGAGUAUACACCGAUUCCACAGGUUAUCUGUGUACAAUUCAGUGACAUUGAUUACAUUCUGCAAGUUGCGCAAUGGAUCUCCCUGUCCUUUUCCAAAUUGUUCCUCCCCCGUUAACAUAAAGUCAGUACCCUCUAAGCUUCCUGUCUAACCUCUCUAGUUGUUAUUGUCAAUUUUUUGUUGUGGUGAAAUAUAUAUAACAUAAAAUCUGCUGUUUUCACUAUUUUGAAAUGUGUAAUUCGGUAGCUCCUGUUUAUUUGAAAAAUAAUCAUACUACACCUUCACUUGGAAACUCUGUGGGGCGGUUCUACUCUGUCCUAUAGGGUCGCUAUGAGUCAGAAUCGACUCGACGGCACUGGGUACUGGGUCACACCUUCACUUAAGGAGCCCUAGUGGCACAGUGGUUAAGUGCUCGGCUGCUAACCAAAAGGUUGGUUUUUCCAAGGGAGAAAGAUGUGGCAGUCUGUUUCCAUAAAGAGUUCACCCUGGGAUACCCUAUGGGGCAGUUCUGCUCUGACCUGUAAGAUCGCUAAGAAUCCCAGCGGUCAUGGUCCCCAAACCUUCUGUUGGCCCAGGACAGGAACCAUUCCCGAAGACAACUCAUCACAAAAUGGAAGGGACCGGACAGUGGGUUGGAGAGAGAUGCUGACGAAGAGUGAGCUACUUGUAUCAGAUGGACACUUGAGACUGUGUUGGCAUCUCCUGUCUGGAGGGGAGAUAGGAGGGUAGAGAGGGUUAGAAACUGGCAAAAUUGUCACGAAAGGAGAGACUGGAAGAGCUGACUCAUUAGGGGGAGAGUAAGUGGGAGUAUGGAGUAAAGUGUUUAUAAGCUUAUAUGUGACAGACUGACUUGAUUUGUAAACGUUCACUUAAAGCUCAAUAAAAAUUAUUAAAAAAAAAAAAAAGAAGGCCUCUUUCUGGUCAUAGUUUGGGGCUGCAGGGAACCUGAAAAAUGGAAGGGAAGUAAUACUCCUUGGCUACCACUGUAUGGCAGCCUUGCACAUUGCCGUAUUUCAUCCUCAUAAUAACCCUAUGACGAAAUGUUUUCCUAGUCUACAGGUAAGGAACCUGAGGCCCAAGGUCGUACAUACCUAUUACUCAUAGUGACCCUAUAGGACAGAGCAGAACUGCCCCAUAGGGUUUCCAUCUUUCCGGAAACUGACUGCCGCAUCUUCUCCCACGGAGUGGGCUGGUCAGUGGGCUCCCACUGACUUUUGGUUAGCAGCCAAACGCUUAACCCCUGUACCACCAGGACUCCAGGUUGUUCAUAAAAAAACAAAAACCAAACCCAUUGCCACUGAGUCCAUUUUGACUCAUAGCGACCCUAUAAGGAGCUCCUGUAUUGACACCAAGGCCUCUGUUGCCUCUGACACUCAAGUUUAUCACCCCAUGCUGCCUUGCUGGAGACCAGUUUAAUUGUACAGUUGAGUCAGCCGUCUGGGACAUACAGGUGAGGGAAUUUGCCUAAGGUUAUCUAAGUUGUUAGAGGAAGUGCCUGGGCCAGAACUGGGGACUCCUGCUAACUUAGGGUGGGUACCUUAAAGGAUGUCAAACAACUCUGACCACUGUUAGUCCAUCUUUGCUGCUCUCAGCAGGUCCCAACGCCAUUGUGAUCACUGGGAGACCCUGGGCUGGAGUCGGGGACUGGGUUCUUGUUCCAGGUGUGAUGUUGCCUUCUGAGCUUGUCCUUUCAGGUUCUCUUUUAGGUCUCUUUUCAGUCAUAUUUCAUUCCCUCUCUCUGCCCCCCUGCUCUUUUUUAGGCAAAGGACCGGUAAACCAGUUGCCACUGAGUCAGUUCUGACUCAUGGCAACCCCAUGUGUGUCAGAGGAGACCUGUGCUCCAUAGGGUUUUCAAUGCCUGAUUUUUUGGAAGUAGGCAGCCAGGCCUUUCUUCUGAGGUACCUCUAGGUGGACUCUAACCUUUCAGUUAGCAGCCAAGCAUGCUAACCAUUUACACCACCCAGGGACCCUCCUGCUUUCUAACCUUUCAAGCCAAACAAGAAAAGCUCUUGUGUCCCGGCGUAAGCUUUGGCUGAAGCGCAGUCACACUUGCAUGUUAACAUGCGUUUUCAGGCCUUUGCUCUCUAAGCCCCUCCUCGUGGAGAAUUUUAUGGAAUAGUAAGUUAUUUUUGUUUGUUUAGAGGAAGGAAGUUUAGGGAGAGGAGAUUCUCCUUGCUUCAGACGGAUCCUGAAGGUAAACUGACAUUAUUUAGUAUCUAAGAAGUGCUGUCCUUGUUGUUAGUUGCCAUGGAGUCAAUUCUGACUCAUGGCGACCCCAUGUGUGCAGAGCACAGUUGCUGUAUAGGGUUUUCAGAAGUAUAUCACCGGGUCUACCUUGCGAGAUGCCUUGGGGUGGGUUUGAACCACCAACCUUUCGGCUAGUAGUUAAUCACUGAACCAUUUGCACCACCCACGGACUAAGGAGUACUGGUAGUAAGGAAAACUAGAGGUAGCGGGGUAUUCCCCUCUCCUCCUUGCCCCCCUCCUUCUACCCUGAAUGAGUAGUUUCAUUGUUCUGGUCACCCAGGAAGUCAUCUUUGACUCAUCCAUGUGCAGUAAUUGCUGAGCCAUGUGGAUCAGCUCUUCCCAGUGCCUCACCUGUCCUCCUCUUCCCAGUCCCCCUGGUGACACCAUCAUUCAGGCCCUUGUACCUGCCCUGCUCCAUUGCAGGCCACCCUUCCCGACUGAUCCUUCUACCGCAGUACCAUUCCCCCAUUCCACUUGAAGCACCUAUCUCGCCUCCUCCUUCUGGUCCCCAGAGCCUUCUCCACACUCUGCAUUCACCGUAUGGUGCUGGUCAUUUCCUCCUACCACCCUCCCGUGUCUGCUGUUUCUCAACCUCGAGUUCAACCCCCUGCUCCCUGACCAUGCUCUUUCCCUAAGCUGGGUCCUUCUUCUGAGAAACCCUAGUGGUCAGCUAAACGUUGGCUCCCACCCCACACCUUUGUGACUUCUCUCUUCAGAGAAAGCAUGUCGCUCUUGGUUUAUCUCUGUGUGACAGAUGCCACACUUGCCUUAUGUGGCAGGCACAUGUGCUUUUGUCCCAUCCUAAACCCUAGAUGCUACCAUUAGUGAUGGGGCCUCAGCUACGUGCCUACGUGUGUGUAGCAUUUAAUCAAGUGAAGUCUGUCAACUUUGUUGUAACUGUACAGUAAAUGGCACUCACGUAUGAGGAAUAGAGGAGGCCCUGGGUGGUGUAAACAGUUAAGCAUUUGAGUACUAACCUGAAGGUUGGCGGUUCACACCCACCUAGAGGUACCUUGGAAGAAAGGCCCGUGACCUGCUUCUGAAAGAUCACAGCCUUGAAAAUCCUCUGGAGCAGCCGUACUCUGUAUAUAUGGGGGCGCCAUGAGUCGGAAGUGACUCAACAGCCGUGAGUUUUUACCAUGAGGCAUAGGAAGGUAAAGGAAAGAGCAUAGAGUUUGGAGUUGGGGACAUCUAGGUUUGAAAUCCGGCUUCUGCACUAGUGGACAAGUUACUUUACCACUGUGAGUUACUAGACUUCUGUACGUCUUUUUUCUUUUUCAUUUGUAAAACAGAGAUAACGCUACCGCCUGUCAGGGUUGUUGGUGGGUAGUUUGUGUCAAGAUCCUUGUACAGAGUCAGACGCACGAUGGGCGCUGGGAACAGUUGCUACGUUCAGUCGUUAUGAGGUGCUGCUCGUGUACAGUCACAGCGUAGAAGAAUUCGGGGGGCCGUGGCCACUGCGUCAUGGUGGAUCCGAGCCUGAGAGGGCACCCUGUGGAGGCCCUGGCACUUGGAACAGCCUGCAGGCUUUACCCUGUGACAUUCCUAGAAGACACGAAUAGGAAUGCAUGCCUUGUAGGAUCACUGUUGGAAUCCCAUCAGUUUCUCUUAAGGCCUUCUGGGAAAUGCCUCAAGAAUUGACCCUCUCAUGCCCAGAACGAAGAUGCCGAGUAAGGAACAGCAUAGACCCAGCUCUCUCUCCCUUUCUGUGCUUUCUGCAUGCGCAGACUGCUGCCGGCCUCCAUCAGUGCCCCGUCGGAAGCCGUGCUGCUCAGACUGUGGGAAUUGGUGAGCAGAUGGCCCCGCUGGCAGCUGCUCCUGGCUCCCGCACCAUCCUGGGAGCUGCCCCAGUCUGGCAUGAGACAUACGUGAUUGUGUGCCAGGCCAGGCACUGGGGAGAUAUUCUGGCUGUGUUCUCCCCAGAGUGUGGGUCAGGAACGAAUGCUGCUGUUGCUGUUUUCAUUCUGGCUGUGUUCUCCCCAGAGUGUGGGUCAGGAACGAAUGCUGCUGUUGCUGUUUUCAUCUAGUGUUUCCAAGUCAAGCACAUGAAAAUGUUCAUUGGGAUUCUUACAGUUUUUUCUUCUUUUCAGUCACCUGGCCGGGCACACAUUUGGGCCAGAGCAGCAGAAUUUUGCCCUUCUCUUUUAUUUGGUUGCUUUGGUAAGCUGUAAACUCCAUUACACCUCAGCCUUUUCUUCCUCACUCCCUUCUCCUUUCAGUCUGAAUCUGGAGUUCCCAGGGGACACCAUUCUCCUUAUAACCCGACAGCAUCAAGAUGGUAUGGGGCUGGCAUAUCCUUGCUCUUUAGAUUACAGUUCCCCUGGCCUCAUUCAUCAUGCCUUCUUUUGAAGCCUUACCACCUUUUUGGGUUUCUCUCUGCCCAUCUUUUUUUUAUAUAUAUAUAAUUUUUAGUGUGCUUUAAGUGAAAGUUUACAAAUCAAGUCAGUCUCACACACAAAAACUUAUAUAUACCUUGCAACACACUCCCAAUUACUCUCCCCCUAAUGAGACAGCCCGCUCUCUCCCUCCACUCUCUCUUUUCCUGUCUGUUUCGCCAGCUUCUAACCCCCUCCACCCUCUCAUCUCCCCUCCAGGCAGGAGAUGCCAACAUAGUCUCAAGUGUCCACCUGAUCCAAGAAUCUCACUCCUCACCUGCAUCCCUCUCCAACCCACUGUCCAGUCCAAUCCAUGUCUGGAGAGUUGUCCGUGCCCUUCUUGACGGUGUCUCUUAGCCUGAACUGUCCCUGUUGAUGUUGUCGUUAGCUACCGUUGAGUCAGCCCGCCUACUCAUGGUGACCCCAUGCACAAAGGAAUUGGACCCUUGUAACCCAUAGUGUUUUCAUUCACUGGUUUUCAGAAAUAGAUCUCCAGGCCUUUCUUCCUAGUCUGUCUGAGCUUGGAAGCGCCACUGAAAUCUGUUCAGCAUCACGACGACGUGUAAACCCCCACUGACAGACGGGGUGGUGGCUGUGCAUGGGGUGCGUUGGCCGGGAAGCAGGCCUGGGCCUCCCGCACAGAAGGCGAGAAUUUCACCACUGAACCACAGCAGCCAUCCCCCGUUGAUGGUCUGUCCGAUUGAGUCCUGCCAGCAGUGGAUGAGUACGUGCCCACUCCAGGUUCUGUAGAUGGAGAAGUGUGUGACUGAUUUAGUUUUCUAGCACUGUGUAACAAGUUACCACAAACUGGGUGGCAUAAAACAACAUGCACGCGUUAUCUCAGUUUCCAUGGGUCAGGAGUCGAGCACGGCUUAGCUGGGUCCUCUACUCAGGGUCUUACAAGGCAGCAAUCAAGAUGUCAGUUGGGGAUGGGGCGUCAUCUGAGGCUCGGGGUCCUCUUCUAAACUCACAUGGUGGUUGGCAGAAUUCAUUUUCUUGCAGCUGUAGAAGUCAUGGUGGUUUCUUCAAGACCAAGAAGGGAGUCAGCCACUAUGGCGUCUUAUGUAAUGGAAUGUAAUCUCAGAGUGCUUCUCCCAUCUCCUCUCUAUGCAACACAAGCUAAUUAAGGAAGCUGCUAUCUCAUCAUGUUCACGGGCCCUCACUUACAGUCUCAGUCUGUGUGUGUGUUCUUUAGUUGCCCCCAGUCUAUGUAGAGAAAACAGACAUGUAAACAAGUAGGCUUCCCAUUCAGAGUUACGAAUAUAAUGGGGAUGUAUUAUGUAACAGCCCUAGGUGGCACAGUUUGUGCUCAGCUGCUCACCAAAAGGUUGGCAGUCUGAGUCCACCCACAGGCACCACAGAACAAAGGCCUGGCACUCUACUUCUGCAAGAUCACAGCCAUUGAAAACGCUCUGGAGCAGCUCUACGCCGACUCACAAUGGGUUGCCAUGAGUCAGAAUCGACUCGAUGGCAAUGGUUAUUUUUGUUUGUUUUUAUGUAAAGGUAAUGCUGACAGGUAUGCCUAGUCUUUGUGGGAAGAGGCCAAGUGGCAUUGGGGUGCCCCACAGCGUUUGACUGCCACACUAGUGAAUGACAGUCUCUCCUCUCGGCAAGCUGCAUGCUUGUUUGUACCUAGGGUCACAGGAUCUCUUGGCGCUGCCCCCACCUUGAAUAUUUCAGCCUCUGAAAUAUCACCUCCAUUGAUUCUUAGUUUUUCCCAUGGGAGAGACAGACCUGGGUUUGGUUACCCCGUCACUUCACCGGACCAUUGUGUGGCCUUGGCCAAGGCUAUUUCAGAUGGGUGUAAUAAUAUGCAGGUUGUUGGGUUGCCGUCAGAAUUAAGUGUGAGAAUCUCAUGAACUUCUCCUCACUUAGCAGACAUUGCACAGGCACCCCCUGCCCGUACCUCCUCCAGGGGGCCUCUUCUGCAGGAAGUGCGUCAUCAGGCUUCCUUUUUCUCCCACAGGCAUUUUCUCUCACUGGUGUUCCCUUGGGACAAUAUACUUGACCUGUAGUAUAUUUAUUUAAGUGCAUGAAUGUCCCUCACCACCAGGACCAGCUUCAUCACUUGUGGGGCCCAGUGCAAAUUGAAAAUGUGGAUCCACUUGUCAAAAAAUUAUGAAGAAUUUCAAGAUGGUGGCCAAAAAAAACCAAACCAGUUGCUGUCAAGUCAAUGCUAACUCAUCGCGACCCCAUAGGACAGAGUGGAGCUGCCCCAUAGAGUUUCCAAGGAGCGCCUUGUGGAUUCAAACUACAGACCUUUUGGUUAGCAGCUAUAGCCCUUAAACACUGCGCCACCAGGGUUUCCAAGAUGGUGACAGCAGAACAUUAAACCAAGUGUAGAGCCUUCUGAGGGCGGGGCCUCGAGCGUCUGCUCAGGGUGCCUGUCCACGGACCUGGCCCUGCCUGCUAGGCUGUGAGCCCACCCUGAGCACAGGUCCUUCUUCGUCUCUAUCCUCACAGUGCCUGGCUUGCACUGGAUGGGCCAAAAACCAACCAAACCUGUUGCCAUCAAGUUGUUUCUAACUCACAGCUACCCUAUAGGACAGAGUAGAGCCACCCCAUAAGGUUUCCAAGGAGCAGCUGGUGGAUUCGAACUGCCGACCCUUUGGUUAGUAGCCGAGCUCUUAACCACUCCGUAGAAGUCUGUAAAUUGAAUUUUCCAUUGUUUCAUGUUGAGGAACUCAUGGUGUUCUUGGACAACAGGAAACAACGGAGAGAUCUCCCCUACAGUUGAGUGAUAUACAUAGGCUCUGUCAGAGCAGACUCAGCAGCCCUCUGUUCUGAUCUGUCUGCUUAUGAGUAACUAGUCAUUCGUUCAGUAAAGAAUUAUUGAGCUCCUGCUAUGUGCAAGCACUGGUCUUGUAGCUGGGAAGAUAGCAGGGAAUCACAUGGACAAAAUCCCUGUCCUCAGGAGCUGACAUUCUGCUGGGGGAUACAAGACAGUAAGACCACCAAGUAUGAUAAUAGGGUGUAUCUAAGUGCUGAGGAGAAAAAUAAAGCAGGGGCAGGGGAUAUGAACACUUUUAAAACACAGUCCAGUUUGUUAGUUGCCUUAUGUGUAUUAUUUUGUUUAAUAUACACAAAAAAAUCGUGUAAGAAAUGCACCGUUUUUGGUCCCAUUCUGCGGAUGAGAAGACUGAGCCUCAGAGAGUUCAGUAACUGGCCUAAUUCCAUAUAGUAGUAAGUGCUAGAGCCAAUACCGCCACGUUUCAUGUCUUUUUAACUCCAAAACUUGUGCUUUUAGCCCCACAAGCAAGAGCCAUCUCCGCUUACCCCCUGGAUGGUUCAGAUCUCUCACUAGGGGGCAGAACCAUGGCUUUGCAGUCUUCUUGCUCCCGAAACCCAGUGGUACCACCGUGAGCUGUGAGUUCUAGGCAAAUCCCUUCACCUUCCUGCCCUUCCUUCUCCUAUUUAAAACGAGAAUUGUUGCAGGUAAGCUAGGUGAAACCAAAAAACCAAACCUGUGGCUGCCACAUCCAUUCCGACUUAUGGCAACCCCAUGUGCUACAGAGUGGAGCUGCUCCAUGGGGUUUUCUUGGCUGUAAUCUUUUACAGAGGCAGAUUGCCAGGCGUUUCUUCCAUGGUCCCCCUGGGUGGGUCCAAACCACCAACCUUUAGGUUAGUAGUCGAGUGCAAGGGUAACCUAGCUAGUUUCUGUUAACCAGGUGCCUGUGUAGUGUGGGCAUUAUGCACUUUAUCUAGCUUUGACAUCACAAGCCUGCAAAGUAGGGACUCUCCUCAUUGUAGGAAACUGCAGAUCAGAGAGCCUGGUGAGAGGCCAGAGCCAGGAUUUGAACACAGGUCUCUGUGCCUAAAAAAAAAACCCAUGUUCCUCACUUUGGCUGCUCUUCCUCAUGGCAGAUGUGCAAAUUCUUGCUCAGGCUUGUCCCUUCCCCCCUUUAUAGGUAAUAGCCUCCCACCGACUCCCAGUUUUAAACACUGAGAUAAGAUAUACAAAGUGUACUCAAAAUUCUGGGUCUGUUAUAUGGCUUUGCUGUUUCUUUCAGUUUAAACAGGUAUUUGUUCUGGCAGUUUGUUGGGACAUUUGAUUUCUUUUUUUUUUUAGUAAUAUUGUGUUUUUGGUGAAUGUUUACACAACAAAUUAAGUUCCCAUUUUUAAAAAUGUAUACAAAUGGUUUUGUGACAUUGGUUACAUUUUUCACAGUGUGGCAGCAUUCUCAUUAUUUCCAUUCUGUUUGUUCUGUUUUGGUUAAUCUAGCUUCCCUGCCCCUUCUUCCCUCUCCUCUUUGCUUUAGGGUAAAUGUUGACUGUUUGAUCUAAUAUAGUUGAAGGGACAUUUGAUUUUUAGAAUCAGUUUGGCCUCAGUAUAAAGGAGAAACUCUUGACACCCCUCACUUUUUCUUUUUUUAUAAGAAAACUCAUUCUAGACAAGGGACAAAUGAGAACAGAGAGGAGAAGAGUUAAUUUUACGUUGAUUCUGUUGAAACUUAAUUAAACGUAUUAUUAAGGUUAACUUUAAAUGAAUCGCGCUCCGAGUCUAGUAGGUUUCAUUAAAUGUCCGGAGUACCAGUGCUUAGACUUCAGAAGAAUGCCAUGGGACCCUGGGGUCCUUCUUCCUAGGUACUGUGCAUGCCAGGGGAGUGUGUGUGCACGUGUGCAAAUACCGGGAAUGCUCAUGCCAGCUCUGUGCAGGGAGGUGGUGAUGGUACCAGUGAUCUUCCUCAUGGUACAUGGGACAGAGGUGUGUGGGAGUGGGGUAGGGGGGUGUCAGGAAACCUAGAUUUUGUCCUGAGGUGUACCAUCUGCUGUGCAACCUUAGGCGAGUCACUUCACCUCUCUGGUCCCCUGUUUCCUCCUAUGUACUACGAAAAAAAAAAAAAAACUAUGAAAAGACAGGAUUAAA
Long non-coding RNA from Loxodonta africana (African savanna elephant), 9854 nucleotides. RefSeq lists it as uncharacterized. The record is from RefSeq and is a predicted model, not a curated record. Lineage: Eukaryota; Metazoa; Chordata; Mammalia; Proboscidea; Elephantidae. The transcript is spliced from 2 exons.